This 498-nucleotide ribosomal RNA is filed under the name uncultured bacterium. Its description in RNAcentral is "partial 16S ribosomal RNA". It matches the Rfam family "Bacterial small subunit ribosomal RNA", at positions 28 to 507 of the family's 1533-position model. The record is from RNAcentral.
GACGAACGCUGGCGGCGUGCCUAAUACAUGCAAGUCGAACGAGAGCGACCGGUGCUUGCACUGGUCAAUCUAGUAGCGAACGGGUGAGUAACACGUGGGUAACCUGCCCAUCAGAGGGGGAUAACAUUCGGAAACGGAUGCUAAAACCGCAUAGGUCUUCGAACCGCAUGGUUUGAAGAGGAAAAGAGGCGCAAGCUUCUGCUGAUGGAUGGACCCGCGGUGCAUUAGCUAGUUGGUGAGGUAACGGCUCACCAAGGCCGUGAUGCAUAGCCGACCUGAGAGGGUGAUCGGCCACAUUGGGACUGAGACACGGCCCAAACUCCUACGGGAGGCAGCAGUAGGGAAUCUUCCGCAAUGGACGCAAGUCUGACGGAGCAACGCCGCGUGAGUGAAGAAGGUUUUCGGAUCGUAAAACUCUGUUGUUAGAGAAGAACAAGUGCUAGAGUAACUGUUAGCGCCUUGACGGUAUCUAACCAGAAAGCCACGGCUAACUACGUG